AUACGAAGUCGGACCUGCCCAGUGAGUUUUAAACGGCCGCGGUACUCUGACCGUGCAAAGGUAGCAUAAUCACUUGCCUUAUAAUUGAAGGCUGGAAUGAAUGGUUUGACAAGAAUACGUCUGUCUCUUUUAGACUGCUUAGAAUUUUAUCUUUGGAUGAAAAAGUCUAGAUAUUAUUAAAAGACAAGAAGACCCUAUCGAGCUUUAGAAGAGUUAAUAGGCCUUUGGUUGGGGCAACCGAGGAGUAAGCAAAACCUCCUCUCGUGUUGAUCCAAAGUUUUUGAUCAAAGAAAUUAGUUACCGUAGGGAUAACAGCAUUAUUUUUUUUAAGAGCUCAUAUCGAAAAAAAAGUUUGUGACCUCGAUGUUGGACCAGAAUAUCCUAAAGAUGCAGAAGUCUUUAAGGGUUGGUCUGUUCGACCAUUAAAAUUCU
RNAcentral lists this ribosomal RNA (432 nucleotides) under Conus cordigera. Its description in RNAcentral is "Conus nobilis cordigera partial 16S ribosomal RNA". It matches the Rfam family "Bacterial large subunit ribosomal RNA", at positions 1845 to 2597 of the family's 2925-position model. The record is from RNAcentral. Lineage: Eukaryota; Metazoa; Mollusca; Gastropoda; Neogastropoda; Conidae.